GGUUGCGCUGGUCGAGCAGGGCCUCGCCGAGCUCGCGGGCCGGGUCGGCGAGGAGGUUGGCCAGCGCCGGUUCGGGGUCCCAGUCGGGGCCG
This 92-nucleotide transfer RNA is filed under the name Streptomyces naganishii JCM 4654. RNAcentral describes it as "tRNA-Ala". Lineage: Bacteria; Bacillati; Actinomycetota; Actinomycetes; Kitasatosporales; Streptomycetaceae. The record is from RNAcentral.